ACUCCUUUUCGCCGUAUAGAGCCAUUUCUGGUAGCUGCCAGGGAUCAUUCUUGUAAAGAUCAAUCUCCGCAAUAAUCGGAACAGAAAUAGGCUGUCCUGCACACUUCCUAAUCAAGUAAUGAUUCACCAAUUCAUCGUCAGUCGGAUGAAAUCUGAACCCAGGAGGUAACUCCAGCUCAGCUCCCUUCAUUUCUACUUUUCAAGUCUCUCUCUAGAUUUCUCUUCUCUUCUCUUCCCUUUAUAGCUGCCGCCUUUUUAGAAUUUGCUCCUCUUUUUUACCUUCUUUCUUUGCUUAUUCUAGUCUCGCUCUGGCUCUGCCGCUGAUGCUGCUCGCUUGAAAGACUUGAACACAAGACAGUAAGAGCGAAACGAAGGUUUUAUAAGGCGAGAACCCAAAAAUUAAAAUU
This 407-nucleotide unclassified non-coding RNA is filed under the name Hevea brasiliensis (rubber tree). The record is from RNAcentral. Lineage: Eukaryota; Viridiplantae; Streptophyta; Magnoliopsida; Malpighiales; Euphorbiaceae.